GUGCUCGCUUCAGCAGCACAUAUAUGAAAAUUGGAACAACACAGAGAAGAUUAGCAUGACCCCUGCGCAAGGAUGACAUGUAAUUAGUGAAGCGUUCCAUAUUUUU
Molecule: small nuclear RNA, 106 nt
Organism: Sorex fumeus (smoky shrew)
Lineage: Eukaryota; Metazoa; Chordata; Mammalia; Eulipotyphla; Soricidae
Source: RefSeq, a predicted model, not a curated record